Molecule: ribosomal RNA, 468 nt
Filed under: uncultured bacterium
Lineage: Bacteria
Description: partial 16S ribosomal RNA
Rfam family: Bacterial small subunit ribosomal RNA
Source: RNAcentral
GACGAACGCUGGCGGCGUGCUUAACACAUGCAAGUCGAACGGAAAGGCCCUGCUUUUGUUGGGUGCUCGAUUGGCGAACGGGUGAGUAACACGUGAGUAUCCUCCCCUUGUCUUUGUGAUAACUUCAGGAAACUGGGGCUAAUACCCGAUAGGAUCUCCUGCUGCAUAGUGUUGGUUGGAAAGUUUCGGCGGUUGUGGAUCGACUCGCGGCUUAUCAGCUUGUUUGUGUGGUAGUGGCUUACCAAGGCUUUGACGGGUAGCCGGCCUGUGAGGGUUACCGGCCACAUUGGGACUGAGAGACGGCCCAGAAUCGUACGGGAGGCAGCAGUGGGGAAUAUUGCACAAUGGGCGGAAGCCUGAGGCAGCAACGCCGCGUGCGGGAUGACGGCCUUCGGGUUGUAAACCGAUUUCGACUGUGACGAAGAGUGAGUGACGGUAAUGGGUAAAGAAGCACCGGCUAACUACGUG